Arachis ipaensis is the source of this 1893-nucleotide non-coding RNA. The record is from RefSeq and is a predicted model, not a curated record. NCBI's taxonomy places the organism in Eukaryota, Viridiplantae, Streptophyta, Magnoliopsida, Fabales, Fabaceae.
GUCCUUUACACAAUCAUUCCAGGGAUUAUUUGGUCCGUACAUGUGAAAACUUUCCUCUCAAAGAAAGUGGGAAUGGCUUUCUUUUUCACGUAUUUCUAUUUUUGUUUCUGGGUGAGUAAUCCGACAGUUGUUGUCCAGGUCAAGUAGUUGAAGACUGGAAGCAACAAUGGAUAUCUAAAGCUGACUUGAUAGUUGAUAGUCUCCUAAGCAUUUCAAUUGUUCUGUCUUUUUAUCUCUUCUGGCCUAUUUCCCAGCAAUCAUGAUUGAAACUACCAUUGUGAGCGGGAUCACUAAUAGGGAAGAUUUCUUCUCCUGCAUAUAAAGAAAUUUGUAAUGUGGUAGGUGUAUAUAAAGGCCUACUGUUACUUGAGAUGUAUUACUCAGUUAGCUAGAGUAGUUGUAUAGUCAGUUAGAUGUUAGAAGUAACUAGAAGGUCUUGACUCUUGUAUGUAACUGGUAACUUAGAAGACUGGUAAAUUAAGUAGCUUAGCAAAGUAGAUACUAUAAGUAGAAUACUGUUCAUUCUUGUAAUCAGUUAGAAUGCUCAUUUUUGACAUGAUCAAUUUUCAGAGUGCAAAUUUUCUCUCACCUCUGUUUCCUUUCUUCAUCCCUCUUCUCUUCUCUUCACACCUGAACUCACACGAUAGAGAUGAUGAGAGUGCUUUACCUUCAACGAUAGCUCUUCCACACCUGCAACACUUGAAUGAAACCCUGUCAUACAUCCAAGCUGUGCUGUCUGAUAUUAAGCAAUUAAUUAUCAGAAUCAUCGCUUCUUCCAAGGGGGGUGCUUCUCCCCAGGGGGCUGCUUCUGCCAGCCAACUGAAUCUAAAUGCUCUAGAAAUGGAACAAUUGACAAAUCUGCUAAGAAUUAAACUUAGCGAUCAGAAGUUCCUACUGGUCUUAGAUGAUGUAUGGAACGAGGAUCGUGGUAAAUGGGUUGAUUCAAGUGGGUGCUGAAGGAAGUAAGAUCCUAGUGACAACACGUAGUUAUGCAAUUGCUUCCAUGAUGGAUUCCAUUUACUCUCACAAUUUGAAGGGUCUUCCUCUGGAGGAUUUAUUUUCUGUAUUGUCAAGAAACGUGGAGGAGCUCCUUUGGCGGCAAGGACGAUGGGCACCUUACUCUUUCAAAAAUUUGAGUAAAGGGAACAUCAAGCCAGAAAGGAAUUCUGGAACUGUCAGAUAUACAUCCGGAUAAAAACUCCAUCUCCAAGUUAAAAUUUCUUUCUCUUUAGUGUUUGCCACUGGUGCUGACCUUACCUGGUUGGAUUCAUGGAGCUGCAAGCACGUUACAGUACUUGAGGGUUAAAGAUUGCAAGAUGCUGGAAGAACUUCCUGAGUGGUUACCACGUAUGAAUGUCCUGAAAUCUCUUUGCAUCAUAAAUGCUCCAAAAUUGAUGUCUCUUCCUAAUAAUGAUGAUCGCCUCACAGUCCUUGAAUCUCUGGAUAUGAUAGGUUGUCCUAGCUUAUAUGAAAAAUAUAAUCCACAAGAUGGAGAGGAUUGGCACAAGAUAUCUCGCAUUUCACAUGUGCAUUUUCAUUGUUGAUCUUCAAGAUCUGGAGAUUACUUGAUGGAAGUGGACAGUUAUUGUUUCUGAAUGUAAUUGAUUAUUCUCCUAGGUUAGGCAAAGUUUUCUCUUAGGUAUUAUUUUCUAUUAAUUGUAUAUAACAUUGAUAAUGAUACUCCUCCGGUGCAAAAGUAGUGGUAUAUGAUUUGUAGUGCAUUGGAUGCUGUUAAUGUUGCAAGUGUGAAGAGUGCAUGAAGUUAGUCUCACAUCAAAGAAAGUAAGAAAAAGUGAGAAGUUUAUAAGAUGAGAGACCCAUUAAUUUGACAUUUUAAGGUUUUGAGUUGAAUGUAGCAUCUUCUUAUUUUAUUUACACACAAAAUUACCAUCC